This 425-nucleotide ribosomal RNA is filed under the name uncultured bacterium. Its description in RNAcentral is "bacterial SSU rRNA". It matches the Rfam family "Bacterial small subunit ribosomal RNA", at positions 352 to 774 of the family's 1533-position model. The record is from RNAcentral.
CAGUGAGGAAUAUUGGGCAAUGCCCGCAAGGGUGACCCAGCAACGCCGCGUGGAGGAUGAAUGUCGUAAGAUUGUAAACUCCUGUUAGAGGGGAAGAAUAGUACCGGUUGGACCGGUAUAUGACUGUACCCUCAGAGAAAGCCCCGGCUAACUACGUGCCAGCAGCCGCGGUAAUACGUAGGGGGCAAGCGUUGUCCGGAUUUACUGGGUGUAAAGGGCGCGCAGGCGGGAUAAAAAGUCAGUGGUGAAAUCCUACAGCUUAACUGUAGAACUGCCUUUGAUACUUUUAUUCUUGAGUUCGGGAGAGAGAGACGGAAUUCCAGGUGUAGUGGUGAAAUACGUAGAUAUCUGGAAGAACACCAGUUGCGAAGGCGGUCUCUUGGUCCGACACUGACGCUGAGGCGCGAAAGCGUGGGGAGCAAACA